RNAcentral lists this long non-coding RNA (1042 nucleotides) under Homo sapiens (human). Its description in RNAcentral is "non-protein coding lnc-SEH1L-5:1". The record is from RNAcentral. Lineage: Eukaryota; Metazoa; Chordata; Mammalia; Primates; Hominidae.
UAGCGCGGGGUUACUGGAAUGGGACUCCCUGAGGAAGUCCCCUGAGAAGUCGCCGGCACGCUCCGCCUUCCUUCUUGCUUCCCAUUUCUCGUUUUCUUCUCAGCCUUCAUAGUUUUUUAAAGUGCUGUAUUUGAAUAUUAUUUUAAACAUCAUCUAGGUCAGAUUAGCGGCCUGUGACCAACUUGGAAACAAAUUCCUCAUUCUUUUCUGCCCUGGUGUCAGCUCCUGUAAGCCUGCAGAUUUUAUGCCAAAUAAACCGCUGGAGCAAAAGGAAAGGCAGCCAGCCUCUCCCGGAAUUUGGGAGAGGGAUACCUUGUUAAGAAAACGUUCUACAACUUACGAAUUAGAUUUAACUGUAAAAAAUAGCACGUCCUCUUUUACCAAACAAACGUACUAGUUAGGGAAAUCAUCUUGCUUCAGAUUUAAGAUAGUUCUUUUUUAGUGCUUGUAAUAUCCUGCUAUAUAAUCUUCAUAAGAAACGUGAAGGGUUAGGAAAGGUUUAGCCGUGCUGUCCAGUAUUGGGAUUUAAAUUUUAAAUAUUAACUUAAUUCCUCAGUGGCACCAGCCACAUUUCAGGUGUGCCAUAACCAUGUAUGGCUAGUGGCUGCUAUGUGGCAAAGUACAUAUGUAGAACGUUUCUAUCAUCGAAGACAGUUCUUUUGGACAGAGCCGGCCGAGAGGAUUACAAUACUUGGGGCAGAAAAGUGUCCUUAAUCACAUAAAAUAAUGAAAACCCUAGCCAGAAAAAAAAAAAAAAAAGUUGGCUACGGAAGCUAGAAGAAAUCGUAUUAACAAAAAAGCAGUCAGCAAGCUUUCUACUUACAUAGUAUGAUUUAGAGAUACAGGAAAGCUUCCCCCGAAAGACCCCACAAUGUCUAAUGGUCCUUGGUUCUGAAAUUCUGUCAUUGAAUCUGAUUAUUUUGAUUAAAGGCAUGGUAUCUCCCAGAAUAUCCUGUGAAUGUUCGCAUUAGUCUGCUCAUCAGAUUGCUUUCCAACCAAAAAAUACUGUGUUCUACAAAGGAGGAGCAUCUUUAUCUCAAAG